UACGAAGGGGACUAGCGUUGUUCGGAAUCACUGGGCGUAAAGCGCACGUAGGUGGAUUUGUAAGUCAGGGGUGAAAUCCCGGGGCUCAACCUCGGAACUGCCUUUGAUACUGCGAAUCUUGAGUCCGAUAGAGGUGGGUGGAACUCCUAGUGUAGAGGUGGAAUUCGUAGAUAUUAGGAAGAACACCAGUGGCGAAGGCGGCUCACUGGUCCGGUACUGACGCUGAGGUGCGAAAGCGUGGGGAGCAAACAGG
This 253-nucleotide ribosomal RNA is filed under the name uncultured bacterium. RNAcentral describes it as "partial 16S ribosomal RNA". It matches the Rfam family "Bacterial small subunit ribosomal RNA", at positions 524 to 776 of the family's 1533-position model. The record is from RNAcentral.